GAAUUUAAGCAUAUUAGUAAGCGGAGGAAAAGAAACUAACUAGGAUUCCCUCAGUAGCGGCGAGCGAAGCGGGAAGAGACCGAGAUGAAAAUCCCUUUGGGGAGUUGUAAUCUGGACAGUCUUGAGAUAUCAGUAUUGGUAAGUUGCAUGGAAUUGCAUACCGUGGAGGGUGAAAGUCCCGUCCAACCUCUACAGGAUGUUCUCGCACGAGUCUGUUUCAACCGAGUCGGGUAGCUUGAGAAUGCUGCUCUAAGUGGUGGUAAACUUCAUCAAAGUCUAAAUACUAGUGGAAGACCGAUAGUGAACAAGUACCGCGAGGGAAAGAUGGAAAGCACUUUGAAAAGAGGGUGAAAAGAACCUGAAACCGUCACGGGGGAAGCGGAUUGCGUGAGUGUGGUGUGGUGUCUGUUCAGCUGCGACUUGUCGUGGUGUAUUCAGCACUAGCCGUGCCAGGGUGGCCGCUCUGAGUUCAGAUGUUGUGGACUUGAGUGGUGAGGGCUCCCAUUUCUUAUGGUGAGGACUUUGGCGAAAUGACGCGACCCGACCCGUCUUGAAACACGGACCAAGGAGUCUAGCACAGCUGCGAGUCGAAGGGUGUUGUUAAACCCCAAAAAAGGGCGAAGUGAAAGCAAAAAUGACACAUGAAAAAUUGUUGUUGGAAAUCUGAUACAGAUUAGGGAGGUAUGGCGUCGUUGACAAUAUAUCCUACCCAGAGCAGUUGUGCUGGGACCCGAAAGAUGGUGAACUAUUCCUGAAUAGGGCAAAGCCAGAGGAAACUCUGGUGGAGGCUCGAAGCGAUGCUGACGUGCAAAUCGUUCGUCAAAUUUGGGUAUAGGGGCGAAAGACUAAUCGAACCAUCUAGUAGCUGGUUCCCUCCGAAGUUUCUCUCAGGAUAGCGGACCGAUGAUGUUGAAAAGUUGUUUUGUGUGGUAAAGCAAAUGAUUAGCGUAUUAGGGGGUGUAAAACCUUCUGUCGAUUCUCAAACUUUAAAUACGCAAGAAAGAGGUUGUUGUUGGUUGUUAUUGUUGUUGAAAAUUUUGUUGGAUGAAAAAAAAAUGAGUUGAAUUUGAUGAUGAUGAUGUUUGUUGCUUGAUUGAACACCUCUAUUUUGAAAACAUCGGUCUUGUGGGCCACUUUUGGUAAGCAGAACUGGCGAUACGGGAUGAACCGUAAGCGCGGUUAAGGCGUCAAAUUGUACGCUUAGAGAUCCCACGAAAGGAGUUGGUUCAUCUAGACAGCAGGACGGUGGCCAUGGAAGUCGGAAUCCGCUAAGGAGUGUGUAACAACUCACCUGCCGAAUGAACUAGCCCUGAAAAUGGAUGACGCUUAAGCGGACAGCCGACACCGCGCCGUUUGGGUAAACAGCGACCUAAAUGAGUAGGAGGGCGUGGCGGUCUUGUUUGGAAGGUCAAGACGCGAGUCUGACUGGAACGGCCGCUAGUGCAGAUCUUGGUGGUAGUAGCAAAUAUUCAAGCGGGAUCCUUGAAGGGCGAAGCGGGGAAGGGUUCCAUGCGAACAUUGAUUGGGCGUGGGUGAGUCGUUCCUAAGCCGGGUGGUAAUCGUUCUUACGAAGCGGCGAAAGGGAAGCGGGUUAAAAUUCCUGCACACGGAUGUGGAGGCGGUGACGCAAAUUGAGGUGAAGACAUCAGCGGUUGCGCUAGGCAGAGUUUUCUUUUCUGUUUGACCUGUGAGAUGCACGGUGUGGAAUCCGAUUAUCGGGAGAAACACGAGCCGAAACGGGCAGAGCGUCGGGGCGUCCCCGGCGUCUAGUACGCGAUCGAUGGUCCUUGAAAAUUCAUCUGCAAUACAAUUUCACGCCGUGGCGUACCGAUAACCGCAUCAGGUCCCCAAGGUGAACAGCCUCUGCUCAAUAUGAACAAUGCAGGUAAGGGAAGUCGGCAAAAUAGACCCGUAACUUUGGGAUAAGGGUUGGCUCUAGUGGAGUGGAGGAUUGAUUCAUUUCGAUUUAAAUGGACUGUGAGGCUUUGGAUGAUUGCUGGCUGGGCUCUUGGCUAGUCUGUGGAAACGCGGAUUUCGGCUGUGUCUGGCUGGCUUUCUUGGUCUGAGGCUUUAUGGUCUGCCUUCGGCAUGCUCCAGACUAGAACUGUAACGGGCAAAGGGAAUCCGACUGUUUAAUUAAAACAAAGCAUUGCGAGGGCCAUGGAUCGGUGAAGACGCAAUGUGAUUUCUGCUCAGUGCUCUGAAUGUCAAAGUGAAGAGAUUCAAACAAGCGCGGGUAAACAGCGGGAGUAACUAUGACUCUCUUAAGGUAGCCAAAUGCCUCGUCAUCUAAUUAGUGACGCGCAUGAAUGGAUUAACGAGAUUCCUACUGUCCCUAUCUGCUUCUAGCGAAACCACAGCCGAGGGAACGGGCUCGGCGAAAUCGGCGGGGAAAGAAGACCCUGUUGAGCUUGACUCUAUUCUAAUUUUGUGACGCAAGUUAGGAGGUGUAGCAUAGGUGGGAGCUGUGUUUUGUCUACUUUUCUUCGGGGAAGUGGAGCCUUCCAGCGACAAUGAAAUACCACUACUCUUAAUCUUGUUUUACUUAUGGCGUAAGACUGCAGGGCUAUGUUUUUGUUAAUAUGGUCUAUUGUGUUUUUAUACACUGUUUUUCUGGCAUCAAUCUGGGUUACUGGCAUCUCUUCUGUGGGGAGGAGAUUUGUCACCGGAGAGCAGCGCGCCUGACAUAUUUAGGAGGGGAGUUUGGCUGGGGCGGCACAUCUUCUACAAGACAACGAAGGUGUCCAAAGAUAAGCUCAGUGAGGACAGAAAUCUCACGUAGCGCAAAAGGGUAAAAGCUUGUUUGAUUUUGAUUUUCAGUGUGAGUUGAAAACACGAAAGUGUGGCCUAUCGAUCCUUUCACUAUUCGAAGUUUGAAGCGAGAGGUGUCAGAAAAGUUACCACAGGGAUAACUGGCUUGUGGCGGCCAAGCGUUCAUAGCGACGUCGCUUUUUGAUCCUUCGAUGUCGG
This 2970-nucleotide ribosomal RNA is filed under the name uncultured Corallinales. RNAcentral describes it as "LSU rRNA". It matches the Rfam family "Eukaryotic large subunit ribosomal RNA", at positions 30 to 2887 of the family's 3401-position model. The record is from RNAcentral. Lineage: Eukaryota; Rhodophyta; Florideophyceae; Corallinales.